GGUUGGCCUCGGAUCAGGUGGGGAUACCCGCUGAACUUAAGCAUAUCAAUAAGCGGAGGAAAAGAAACCAACAGGGAUUGCCUCAGUAACGGCGAGUGAAGCGGCAACAGCUCAAAUUUGAAAUCUGGCUCACGCCCGAGUUGUAAUUUGUAGAGGAUGUUUCGGGUGAAGCCACGGUCCAAGUCCCUUGGAACAGGACGUCAUAGAGGGUGAGAACCCGUACCUGGCCGUCGGUUGCCCCCCGCUGUGAAACUCCUUCGACGAGUCGAGUUGUUUGGGAAUGCAGCUCUAAAUUGGUGGUAAAUUCCAUCUAAAGCUAAAUACCGGCCAGAGACCGAUAGCGCACAAGUAGAGUGAUCGAAAGAUGAAAAGCACUUUGAAAAGAGAGUUAAAAAGUACGUGAAAUUGUUGAAAGGGAAGCGCUUGCGGCCAGACUUGCCCGCGGUUGCUCAGCCCGCCUUUUGGCGGGUGCACUCUUCCGCGGUCAGGCCAGCAUCGGUUUGGGCGGUCGGAUAAAGGCGCAGGGAACGUGGCCUCCCCUCGGGGAGGUGUUAUAGCCCGGCGUGCAAUGCGGCCAGCCUGGACCGAGGUUCGCGCUCUGCUAGGAUGCUGGCGUAAUGGCCGUAAGCGGCCCGUCUUGAAACACGGACCAAGGAGUCUAACAUCUAUGCGAGUGUUUGGGUGUCAAACCCGUGCGCGUAAUGAAAGUGAACGGAGGUGGGAACCGCAAGGUGCACCAUCGACCGAUCCCGACGUCUUCGGAAGGAUUUGAGUAAGAGCAUAGCUGUUGGGACCCGAAAGAUGGUGAACUAUGCGUGAAUAGGGUGAAGCCAGAGGAAACUCUGGUGGAGGCUCGCAGCGGUUCUGACGUGCAAAUCGAUCGUCAAAUUUGCGUAUAGGGGCGAAAGACUAAUCGAACCAUUUAGUAGCUGGUUCCUGCCGAAGUUUCCCUCAGGAUAGCAGUAACGUUUUCAGUUUUAUGAGGUAAAGCGAAUGAUUAGAGGCCUGGGGGUUGAAACUAACCUUCACCUAUUCUCAAACUUUAAAUAUGUAAGAAGUCCUUGUUACUUAGUUGAACGUGGACAUUUGAAUGCACCGUUACUAGUGGGCCAUUUUUGGUAAGCAGAACUGGCGAUGCGGGAUGAACCGAACGGGGGGUUAAGGUGCCGGAAUGCACGCUCAUCAGACACCACAAAAGGUGUUGGUUCAUCUAGACAGCAGGACGGUGGCCAUGGAAGUCGGAAUCCGCUAAGGAGUGU
RNAcentral lists this ribosomal RNA (1259 nucleotides) under Metacoleroa dickiei. RNAcentral describes it as "LSU rRNA". It matches the Rfam family "Eukaryotic large subunit ribosomal RNA", at positions 1 to 1281 of the family's 3401-position model. The record is from RNAcentral. Lineage: Eukaryota; Fungi; Ascomycota; Dothideomycetes; Venturiales; Venturiaceae.